CGAGAGGAAGAGCAAGGGCUGCAGGGACCCCGUGGCCCUCGGGCGGCCCACGACCCGGUGUGACCCCGGGGAAAGCUGUCCCGGCUGCGAGGGGGCGCCCCUCAAGGGGCCGCGUUUAGCCCUAUUUUCCGGGAUCCUCUCCAGCGUUAAAAGUCUCUCUGUGAUCAGAUCAGGGGGCCAAAGCACCUGCACUGAGGGGCUCGAGGCACACGGAGCAGCGGGUCCAACUCGACGCAGCAAUUCCAUCCGGAAAAUGAAAGUUCACUGAGGAAACAAGAGACGGAUCUCUCCUUAAGGACCAAUUUCUGAGAACUGAGACACCUGGUUUCUUGAAGAGAACCCCGGAGGACAGCUCCUAAUCAUCUCUCAGCAUUCCCGCACAAAUGGAAUAUGAUUUCGAACUUUUUAAAAUACAUUAGUAUUCGUACUCAGAGUUGAAUCUUUAUAAUAAUAGUCUGGAGGAACCUAGACUCUGAGCAGAAUGUGCAGUAGAAUCCGGAAACUGCAAAAUGCUGCCUGUGUGAUGAAAGGACUGCAGGGUCGCUUCCGCCUUGGGACCUAAUAGGCCAGGUACAAUGUCGGCUGCCUCAGGAGUUAAGAGAAGCCAUUCUUCAAGCUGCGAGAUGCUCCUGACUGUGGCCGUGACUUGUUCUUGGGACAUGCUGGCACGGGGACCACUUUGGUUGGCAGAGAAAAACCACCCUGCGUGAAACCUCAGAAUUAAUAUGGACUUAUCUAAGACAACGAACAAUUAAGCCAAAAGAAGACAUUUACAAUGACACGUAUUCUCACCGAAUAAAGAUAACCACCACUGACAUUUUUAUAUACGCUAUAAAAAUGCAUACAUAAAAUAAGGGCCCA
Canis lupus familiaris (dog) is the source of this 861-nucleotide long non-coding RNA. RefSeq lists it as uncharacterized. The record is from RefSeq and is a predicted model, not a curated record. The transcript is spliced from 5 exons. NCBI's taxonomy places the organism in Eukaryota, Metazoa, Chordata, Mammalia, Carnivora, Canidae.